Molecule: RNase MRP RNA, 445 nt
Filed under: Purpureocillium lilacinum
Lineage: Eukaryota; Fungi; Ascomycota; Sordariomycetes; Hypocreales; Ophiocordycipitaceae
Description: RNase MRP
Rfam family: RNase MRP
About the family: RNase MRP is an enzymatically active ribonucleoprotein with two distinct roles in eukaryotes. In mitochondria it plays a direct role in the initiation of mitochondrial DNA replication.
Source: Rfam by way of RNAcentral
CCCUCGCUCAACAAAUCGCAAUUCGAAGCUCACGCACGGAGACACUGCCAAUUGGCGGCGUCUCGCAAACACGCUUUGGGAGAAAGUCCCCGGACGACUCCUCUCGGGGAGCUUGCGGAAACGCGCCGCCAUAAAAGCACUGCGGCUGACCUCUGCGCCUUUGGCCCUCCUGCGGGCUGCGGCCCUGUCCUCCGCCACAUCUGCCUCCUUCGCGUCUUCGCCGAGCCCGUCUGGUCCGUGUCCGGACACCACGGAUGAAGAUAUGAGUCCGAGCCGGUCGCUUGCUGGCGGGACCUCUGCGGCGGGCGCGUGGCUGCGGAUGGAGGGCAACCGUCGCGGUCGCGGGAGCGGUGUCGGGAGCAGAGGACUAGUUGUCGAGGUCCAUAGUUAUGCGAUUGCUCGGCACAUGCUGGGUUACUCGAUGGGGCUUAUUCUUGAGGCGAGG